UUAGCUGAGCAGUCGUUGUCUCCAAAGUUCAUCAGAGUUGAUGAGGUAGCUAUUUGACAUUCGCAGGACCUGACUACUCCUUCUAUUUCAGUUUUAUUGAUAUAUACUUUUCCAGACUUGUGUAUUUUCGUUCAAAUAAUUGUCAUCCAGUUUAUAUUAGAGGCUCUAGACUCGUGACCCCAGAUCUUGUGGGAAUGUUUUAUCGGAUAUCAUAUGUC
RNAcentral lists this long non-coding RNA (218 nucleotides) under Nicotiana benthamiana. RNAcentral describes it as "long non-coding RNA (NBEN_LNC028834)". The record is from RNAcentral. Lineage: Eukaryota; Viridiplantae; Streptophyta; Magnoliopsida; Solanales; Solanaceae.